RNAcentral lists this ribosomal RNA (489 nucleotides) under uncultured soil bacterium. RNAcentral describes it as "bacterial SSU rRNA". It matches the Rfam family "Bacterial small subunit ribosomal RNA", at positions 26 to 533 of the family's 1533-position model. The record is from RNAcentral.
AGAACGAACGCUUGCGGCGCGCCUAAUACAUGCAAGUCGAACGAUGUAGCAAUACAGAGUGGCGCACGGGUGAGUAACACGUGGAUAAUCUGCCCUCUACUGGGGAAUAACUAACCGAAAGGUUAGCUAACACCGCAUGAGACCACAGUGCCUGCGGGCACAGAGGUUAAAAAUUUAUUGGUAGAGGAUGAGUCUGCGCGGGAUUAGCUAGUUGGUGGGGUAAUGGCCUACCAAGGCAACGAUCCCUAGCUGGUCUGAGAGGAUGACCAGUCACACUGGGAACUGAGACACGGUCCAGACUCCUACGGGAGGCAGCAGUAGGGAAUAUUGCGCAAUGGACGAAAGUCUGACGCAGCGACGCCGCGUGAGUGAUGAAGGCCUUAGGUACGUAAGCUCUGUUGAAGUGGAAAGAAUAAGUACGACGUACCAUUCGGAAGGAAGGACCGGUCUAACGUUCGUGACCAGCAGCCGACGGUAAUCGUGACGCGG